AAACAAUGUGUAUUUUACUACAAUUUGGAAAUCAACAAUAAGUUUGUUGGAAAAGAAGUUCAACUGUUUUUUUUUUUGGAAUACUGAAGAACAGUUUUAACAGGUUAAACUCUUGCCCCAAGAGCAAAAGGGGUAAUCAUACUACCUGAUGUAUGGACUUUUACACCAGGCUUUUACCCUGAAUGAGCUGGCCAACUUGAGGGGAACUGAAGUGGGCAAACCUCGCCCUGUCCUUGAACAAGAAAGCUGGAUUUGUUGAGAGAGUAUCAUUUAAGCUGAAAUCCAGCAUGAAACCAGGGAGGUGAUGGCCAUCGCACAGGCCAUGUGCCGACCAUUCACUUUCCACCAGCUUGUGACUUGCUCCAUGAAGGGAGAAACAACUACAACUGGGUCACCAAGACCAAGCCUCCCCGCUGCUGAGAGAAAUGCAAUCAUUGAUGUCAUAGCCAAAACCUUUGACAAGCCUAUGGUUGAUGUUGAAGAAAAGAUGAGAGGUUGUUUCAGGCAUCUGCGGCUGAUGCACAAGUAGACUGAAGUCUUUGUAAAUUAAAUGUGCUGUUAAAAUGAUUAUUUAACCAUUGUUUUCACUUUGUUAUAUAGAUUUGCACCUGUUUCAACAACAUUAACUUAUUUUUAUGCUCCCGGUAGGGUCUCAUAUAGCAGUUGAACUGUCCGUCUGUCUGUCUAUCCGUCCGAAAACUUUAGCAUUGGUCAUAACUUUUGCAAUAUUGAAGAAAGCAAUUUGAUAUUUAGCAUGCAUGUGUAUCUCAUUGAGCUGCACAUUUUGAGUGGUGCAAGGUCAAGGUCAUCCUUCAAGGUCAGAGGUCAAAAUCCAAUGGAAGAAAUAAGCAAAGAGAGAUAAUUUCUAUACCUGCCAAAUGAUAAAUAGAAAUUUUAUUUCAAAGCGGCGCAGUAGGGGGCAUUGUGUUUAUGACAAACACAUCUCUUGUUUGUAUUUAUUCCAUACAAUCGUACUUUUUUCAGUUCGUUCUUUGUGUUCAAUGUUAUGUUAUAACACUAUUAUAUUUUAUUAUAACAAUGCCAUGUCUGUCAAAAUAGUUUUAUCAUG
Long non-coding RNA from Dreissena polymorpha, 1069 nucleotides. RefSeq lists it as uncharacterized. NCBI's taxonomy places the organism in Eukaryota, Metazoa, Mollusca, Bivalvia, Myida, Dreissenidae. The transcript has 4 exons. The record is from RefSeq and is a predicted model, not a curated record.